This 211-nucleotide ribosomal RNA is filed under the name Escherichia coli. RNAcentral's name for it is "partial 23S ribosomal RNA". It matches the Rfam family "Bacterial large subunit ribosomal RNA", at positions 340 to 553 of the family's 2925-position model. The record is from RNAcentral. Lineage: Bacteria; Pseudomonadati; Pseudomonadota; Gammaproteobacteria; Enterobacterales; Enterobacteriaceae.
GUCUGGAAAGGCGCGCGAUACAGGGUGACAGCCCCGUACACAAAAAUGCACAUACUGUGAGCUCGAUGAGUAGGGCGGGACACGUGGUAUCCUGUCUGAAUAUGGGGGGACCAUCCUCCAAGGCUAAAUACUCCUGACUGACCGAUAGUGAACCAGUACCGUGAGGGAAAGGCGAAAAGAACCCCGGCGAGGGGAGUGAAAAAGAACCUGA